RNAcentral lists this unclassified non-coding RNA (253 nucleotides) under Hevea brasiliensis (rubber tree). The record is from RNAcentral. Lineage: Eukaryota; Viridiplantae; Streptophyta; Magnoliopsida; Malpighiales; Euphorbiaceae.
GGGAAAUGGAAAAUCAACCAUAAAAAAAUUACAAAAUACAAACAUGGCUAACAAAUGUUCCAAGGAGAAAAAAGAAGAAAAAAAAGGUCAACCAGUUAAAAUCUGAAGUAUACCUAAAGUUGGAGAGCCAGCAAUCAAGCAUGUAAAAGUACUCGUGCUAGCUGCUCGAUCAUCUCGGGGCUUGAUCUGAACCUGAAGCUCCGACUGAUGGAGUUGUCGGCACACUUGAUGCUGAUCCAUUUUCGACAGGUGG